AACUGAUACUACCUGCGGGAACCUGCGGAAGGAUCAUUAUUGAGUCUUGACUGGGGUUGUAGCUGGCCUUCCGAGGCACUGUGCACGCCCUGUUCAAUCCACUCUACACCUGUGCAUUUAUUGUAGGUUUAAGAUGGUGAAGCAAAAGUCUUUUAAUGGGCUUGUGAAGCCGUCUGCACCUGCGUUUAUUACAAACUCUUGAAAAGUAUUAGAAUGUAUAUUGGGAUAUAAAGAGUAUAU
This 240-nucleotide unclassified non-coding RNA is filed under the name soil metagenome. Its description in RNAcentral is "partial contains 5.8S ribosomal RNA, internal transcribed spacer 2, and large subunit ribosomal RNA". The record is from RNAcentral.